RNAcentral lists this ribosomal RNA (447 nucleotides) under uncultured bacterium. Its description in RNAcentral is "partial 16S ribosomal RNA". It matches the Rfam family "Bacterial small subunit ribosomal RNA", at positions 29 to 523 of the family's 1533-position model. The record is from RNAcentral.
AACGAACGCUGGCGGCAGGCCUAACACAUGCAAGUCGAACGCCCCGCAAGGGGAGUGGCAGACGGGUGAGUAACACGUGGGAACCUUCCCAACAGUACGGAAUAGCCCAGGGAAACUUGGAGUAAUACCGUAUAUUCCCGAGAGGGGAAAGAUUUAUCGCUGUUGGAUGGGCCCGCGUCGGAUUAGCUAGUUGGUGAGGUAACGGCUCACCAAGGCGGCGAUCCGUAGCUGGUUUGGGAGAAUGACCAGCCACACUGGGACUGAGACACGGACCCGACUCCUACGGGAGGCAGCAGUGGGGAAUCUUGGACAAUGGGCGCAAGCCUGAUCCAGCCAUGCCGCGUGAGUGACGAAGGCCUUAGGGUUGUAAAGCUCUUUUGCCGGGGACGAUAAUGACGGUACCCGGAGAAUAAGUCCCGGCUAACUUCGUGCCAGCAGCCGCCGUAA